CUUCCGUAGGGUGAACCUGCGGAAGGAUCAUUAC
Molecule: ribosomal RNA, 34 nt
Filed under: Aspergillus oryzae
Lineage: Eukaryota; Fungi; Ascomycota; Eurotiomycetes; Eurotiales; Aspergillaceae
Also listed under: 2 other names
Description: partial 18S ribosomal RNA
Source: RNAcentral